Molecule: RNA transcript, 2408 nt
Organism: Vigna angularis (adzuki bean)
Lineage: Eukaryota; Viridiplantae; Streptophyta; Magnoliopsida; Fabales; Fabaceae
Gene name: serine/threonine protein phosphatase 2A 55 kDa regulatory subunit B beta isoform
Exons: 17
Source: RefSeq, a predicted model, not a curated record
AACGAACUUGCAAUUGCAAUUGCAAUUGCAAGUGGAUGAAUCAUCACAGCGACAACAAAACACCCAAAACCCAACUUUUGCUUUCUUCUGCAAGUUUCCAAAACCAAGUGGACUCUUCAGUUCUUUGAGAUCAGAAUGAGAUUGCGCGCGACGUUGUCGUUUUAGCACCAUUCAUGGCUUACUACGAUUCUGCGCCUUCUGUCCCUCUCCUAUGGAACUUCUCUCAAGUACUCGGCCAACAACUUCCCAACGAGCCUCUCCAGAACGACGACAUCAUAACAACCAUUGCUUUCGAUAAGCUCGGCGAUCAUCUCGCCGUUGGCGAUCGAGGUGGACGCGUUGUAAUAUUCGGAAGAGACGAUCGGAAAAAGAAUGUUUCGAGUAACCGAAGGGAUCUGGAGCAGCGGGGUUUCGUCUCGCAGCAUCCCGAAUUUCGUUACAAGACAGAAUUUCAGAGCCACGAACCCGAGUUUGAUUACCUAAAGAGUGUAGAAAUUGAAGAGAAGAUUAACAAAGUAAGGUGGUGGAUGACCCACGACAGUUUGCAAUUCAUUCUUUCAACCAACGAUAAAACAAUUAAAUUGUGGAAGGUUAAGGAGCAUAAGGUGAAACAAGUUAAAGAAAUGGCCCCUCCUUUGUGCUCAGAAAAUAUGCUUUUGGCGGAAAGUAGUUUCGUACCAGGGCUGGAAACCAAGUCUGCUGCUAAUGGCUAUCGUUUGGAAUGGAUAGAGAAGAUGCCUCAGAAUCAUUUGCCGCCUCAGGACGUUGAUAGCGAGAUUGGUGGAAUGGAAGACCCUUUUCGCGCAAAGCGCCAAAAGGUGUAUGGUUAUGCUCACAGUUUCAAUAUUAACUCCAUCUCAAAUAAUAGUGAUUAUGAGACCUUUGUGUCGGCAGACGACCUUAGAAUCAAUUUGUGGAAUCUUGAGGUCAGUGAUCAGUGUUUCAACAUUAUUGACAUGAAGCCAUCAAACAUGGAGGACCUUACCGAGGUCAUAACAUCAGCUGAAUUUCAUCCUUUACAUUGUAACCUCCUUGCAUAUAGCAGCUCACAAGGUUUAAUUCGUCUAUCUGAUUUGCGACAUUCAGCAAUAUGUGACCAUGCUUCUAGAAUAUUUCAACAUGGAGAGAGUUAUGGAUCAAAGUCAUUUUUCACAGAAAUCACUUCUUCCAUCUCAGACAUAAAGUUUUUAAAUGAUGGCCAGCAUCUUCUAAGUCGCAAUUACAUGAAUAUGAAGCUUUGGGACAUGCGUAAGGAGUCAUCUCCAGUCGCAAUAUUCAAAAUUCACGAGCAUCUGCGUCCUAAGUUGCCAGAGCUAUAUAAUAACGACUGCAUAUUUGAUAAAUUUGAGUGCUGCUUUAGUGGUGAUGGACUCCAUUUUGCAACUGGUUCUUAUAGCAAUAUCUUGCGAAUAUUCUCCCCAGGUUCUGGAAGAGAGGAAGGGAUUAAACUAGAAAUUAGAGGAAAUUCUAAUAGGAAGGCUAUUCGCCAAUCUAAGUCAAGGGCUAGAAGGUCUUCUCUAAGCAGCAUAAUGCCUCGUGGAAUUUACCAUCACGAUUCAAAGCGGCCUACAAGAGAAGAGAGAGUUGUGAUUAAAGCUUUCAAAGAACUAGUAAAAUUCACGCACGUCUCACUUAGUGGAAUCCACGUGUCAAGAGGGAGGCGCGACACUCAGAUGACGAACGCCAGGUGUCAAGCGAAGAGGGUCAGAAAGUCAGUUAGUGGAAAACAGGUGUCGACUGAAGAGGGGACGUUCGUUCUGACGCGCGGAGCAAAACUUGAAUUUUCAGAAAAAUCUACCCCACUCUCUGCAUGCACCCCUUUCCAGAUUUCUGAAGAAUCCCUUUCUCUCCUCCUUCUCUCUGCGUCUUCUUCAUCUUCUCUCUGAGAAAACACUCACCUUCUCUCCUCCGAUCACUAUUCUGGCACCGUAGGAUCACUUUCGGCGUCCCAAGCUUUAGUUUGAUCCGAUUGGUUUCAAAAUCUGAACGGUUUGAAGAGUUUGGUUGAACGUUGAGGGUAGAAGAAAUCUUAUUUCCGCAAACUGAGUUUUAGUCUGAAGGACGUACGUUCACAAUAGAGAUUUUACAGGUUGCACACACGCUCUAAAAAUCAAGAACACGAAGAAUUUGAAGAAUCUUGAAGCAUUUUUUAGAGGCAUUUUCGUGGACUAUAUUGGUUGAUCACAUUAGCACUACUACAGGUGUAUCCUACAGUAUGUGCAGGUGUAUUCUGUUUCUAUAUUUGAUUGAGAGUUUGGAAGGUGCUUACAUUUGAGAGAAUUCUAUAAAACCUUUGCUAUAAUACUUUGAUCAUUAUAGUGAAAUACUCUCCAAUCUAAGGUUGAUUGGGAGAGUGACUAGAUAUAGGCAUUGAGGUCGAACCAGGAUAAAAAUCUUGAGUUUGAUUA